UACGUAGGGUGCGAGCGUUAAUCGGAAUUACUGGGCGUAAAGCGUGCGCAGGCGGUCUGUUAAGACCGAUGUGAAAUCCCCGGGCUUAACCUGGGAACUGCAUUGGUGACUGGCAGGCUUUGAGUGUGGCAGAGGGAGGUAGAAUUCCACGUGUAGCAGUGAAAUGCGUAGAUAUCUGGAGAACACCGGUGGCGAAGGCGGCAUCCUGGACCGAGAUUGACGCUGAUGCGCGAAAGCCAGGGGAGCAAACGGG
Molecule: ribosomal RNA, 253 nt
Filed under: uncultured bacterium
Lineage: Bacteria
Description: partial 16S ribosomal RNA
Rfam family: Bacterial small subunit ribosomal RNA
Source: RNAcentral